GGGGGCGCUUGCAGGGGAGGGGGAAAGCGAUGCCAAGAGGAGGGGGGCUACAGAGCCUGAAAAAGAGAUUGUGGAUUGAGAAUUAAUGAAAUUAACCUAAUCUUUUCCAUUCGGCAGCCCCGGCGCGGCCCCGGCCUAGCUGGGCGGGCAGCCUAAUUGCCCAGGUUAAUCUUAUUAAUACUAUUGUCCCGCCGCCGUUAACAGCUCCACCAGCGACCUCUGUGCCCCGACCCUUUUCUCUCUAUUAUGGGGUGCGAUUUCCUCUGCUUGUAGCUCAAAUUCAUUGUAGCCAAUUUUACUUUAGGACUACUUUUUACUCUCUUUCGAAAUUUGUUUGCCUUUAGGAAAUGAGGGUGUCUGUGUCCUUCCUUAAGACUGAAAUUCCACCGCCCGUCUCGCCGCCAACCCCACACCCCCCGUGAACUCUCUGCCUAACAUCCCUUGCUCUUUUCCGUCUCAUCAAAAUCUUUCGUUUUUGCGAAAGCCAAAUUUUCUCAGAGCAAAAACGACGAAAGAAGAAACGCGUCGGUCUCCGUAAAAGUUGUCUCUCUUUUUUUUUUUCUCCCCUCUCCCCCAGUCACUCUGGGUCUAAAAACUACCCUGAUCCUCCCUAGCUCCUAACACAUCAGUUGAAGACCACAUUCAACCACUAUUUAAAAUUCGCUGCCGAAAGGAGCUCUCUGAAGCGAUGUUUCCAGAGGUUUCCCGCGUGGGUGCCGCUAGCUCUCGGAAAGGCCUCUAGUCCUUCCAGGCCCACGCUGGCCUCCGUGGGACCCCAGCGGCCUGGACGAAAGUCGGACCACUGCGGGUGGCAGAUAUGAUAUGCGGGAUUCUCCGAGAGGCACCGCCAGGCCUCGGGAGGCGCAGACAGACAGAUCUGGGCGCAGGAAGCUGGGCGACCUUCAGGAAGGUAGGCGACCAUCGGCACAGAACGAAAGCAGAGGCCCGAAGCCGCGUGUUGCGGGUGCCUGCCCCGGAAUUGCUGAGUCGUCCAUCGACGCGGCUUCGCGUGGGAGCCACUCUCCAACUCUCCAGCCAAGGCCGGAGUGGAGGACCGCCUGCAGGGUCUACCCAUUUUGUGGAGAUUUCUCUCCCUCUGUCACUGAUAAGCCAGGGAUGGCUUCAAAGCUGUCUAAAAUCGAACAAUAAAUGCUAAGUGCCCCCCCUGGCACUGGUAGAGACCACCGCCCCCCCCCCCCCGUCUUGUAAAUUGUUUUUCCUGAGUUAGAGAACCUUAGCGGUAAAUUUGGUCCAGCCUGGACGCAGAACUCAGGCUGUGCGUGGGAGCAGCCACCCAGAGCUAGGAGAGUGCGCUUCGCCUCCUAGGCCUCCGCGCGUGGACCUCGGUGCCCUUCAGCCCACACGCGCAUGGCCUGGGACACUUGGCUCUUUGCUUACUUUUGCAAACUGGAGGUGGUGGUAGGGAGUUACAGGACUAGAUAGAAGCCGGCUUCAAUGGUGGGGGUUUGUUUUUGUUUUUAAGAGAAACAAUAAAGUCUCUCAGGAGUGUGA
Long non-coding RNA from Mesocricetus auratus (golden hamster), 1512 nucleotides. RefSeq lists it as uncharacterized. The transcript has 2 exons. The record is from RefSeq and is a predicted model, not a curated record. Lineage: Eukaryota; Metazoa; Chordata; Mammalia; Rodentia; Cricetidae.